UACGUAGGUGGCAAGCGUUGUUCGGAAUUAUUGGGCGUAAAGGGCGCGUAGGCGGCCACCGCAAGUCGACUGUGAAAUCUCCGGGCUUAACCCGGAAAGGUCAGCCGAUACUGCGGGGCUAGAGUGCAGAAGGGGCAACUGGAAUUCUCGGUGUAGCGGUGAAAUGCGUAGAUAUCGAGAGGAACACCUGCGGCGAAGGCGGGUUGCUGGGCUGACACUGACGCUGAGGCGCGAAAGCUAGGGGAGCGAACGGG
This 254-nucleotide ribosomal RNA is filed under the name uncultured bacterium. RNAcentral describes it as "partial 16S ribosomal RNA". It matches the Rfam family "Bacterial small subunit ribosomal RNA", at positions 524 to 776 of the family's 1533-position model. The record is from RNAcentral.